GAUGAACGCUGGCGGCGUGCUUAACACAUGCAAGUCGAACGGAAAGGCUCCUGCUUGCAGGGGUACUCGAGUGGCGAACGGGUGAGUAACACGUGGGUGAUCUGCCCUGCACUUCGGGAUAAGCCUGGGAAACUGGGUCUAAUACCGGAUAGGACCACAUUUUGGAUGGUGUGGUGGAAAGUUUUUCGGUGUGGGAUGAGCUCGCGGCCUAUCAGCUUGUUGGUGGGGUAAUGGCCUACCAAGGCGUCGACGGGUAGCCGGCCUGAGAGGGUGUACGGCCACAUUGGGACUGAGAUACGGCCCAGACUCCUACGGGAGGCAGCAGUGGGGAAUAUUGCACAAUGGGCGCAAGCCUGAUGCAGCGACGCCGCGUGGGGGAUGACGGCCUUCGGGUUGUAAACUCCUUUCGCUAGGGACGAAGCGCAAGUGACGGUACCUGGAGAAGAAACACCGGCUAACUACGU
This 464-nucleotide ribosomal RNA is filed under the name uncultured bacterium. RNAcentral describes it as "partial 16S ribosomal RNA". It matches the Rfam family "Bacterial small subunit ribosomal RNA", at positions 28 to 506 of the family's 1533-position model. The record is from RNAcentral.